UUACGGCCACAUCACAUUGAAAUAUUAGUUCCCGUACGAUCACCUAAGUUAAGCAACGUCAAGCCUGGUCAGUACCUAGAUGGAUAACCGCUUGGGAAUACCAGAUACUGUAUG
This is a non-coding RNA of Acanthosepion pharaonis, 114 nucleotides long. The record is from the annotation of a GenBank genome assembly. NCBI's taxonomy places the organism in Eukaryota, Metazoa, Mollusca, Cephalopoda, Sepiida, Sepiidae.